UUAAAGAGUUCUAUAACUCCCAAACCCAUGUGAACAUACCUAACGUUGCCUCGGCAGGUCGCACCUACCUUGUAGCACCCUACCCUGUAGGGCCUACCCGGGAGGUGCGGGUAAGCCUGCCGGCGGCCCACCAAACUCUGUUUGAUAUUGAAUUCUGAACCUAUAACUAAAUAAGUUAAAACUUUCAACAACGGAUCUCUUGGUUCUGGCAUCGAUGAAGAACGCAGCGAAAUGCGAUAAGUAAUGUGAAUUGCAGAAUUCAGUGAAUCAUCGAAUCUUUGAACGCAUAUUGCGCCCAUUAGUAUUCUAGUGGGCAGGACCGUUCGAGCGUCAUUUCAACCCUUAAGCCUUCGUUGCUUAGUGUUGGGAGCCUACGGCAACGUAGCUCCUCAAAGUUAGUGGCGGAGUUGGUUCACACUCUAGACGUAGUAAUUUUUUAUCUCGCCUAUUAGUUGGACUAAUCCCCUGCCGUAAAACCCCCAAUUUAUCAAGGUUGACCUCGAAUCGGUUCAGACAAACUCGCUAAAUUGAAGCAUCUUAGUCAGCGAAGGAAAAGAAACCAACAGGGAUUGCCCUAGUAACGGCGAGUGAAGCGGCAACAGCUCAAAUUUGAAAUCUGGCCCUC
This 625-nucleotide ribosomal RNA is filed under the name fungal endophyte. RNAcentral's name for it is "eukaryotic LSU rRNA". The stretch from base 180 to 333 matches the Rfam family "5.8S ribosomal RNA". Lineage: Eukaryota; Fungi. The record is from RNAcentral.